This is a long non-coding RNA of Quercus lobata, 660 nucleotides long. RefSeq lists it as uncharacterized. The record is from RefSeq and is a predicted model, not a curated record. The transcript is spliced from 3 exons. NCBI's taxonomy places the organism in Eukaryota, Viridiplantae, Streptophyta, Magnoliopsida, Fagales, Fagaceae.
AAGUUCCCUCUGGGAAGUAAAAAUCCUUUGUUCUCAACAGCCACUUCGCUCUCUUGCUCCCUUGCUCCCUUGCUCAGAUCCCUAACUAUUUGAGUAAAAGAAUGCGGCCAAGAAAUAAGAUGAACCACAGAAGAAGAAAGAAAAUGAGUCCAAGAGAGUUCUUAAGUGCCAAUCUAAGCACAUGCAGAUCAAAAGUUGGAAUGGGUGAAUUUGGCAAAAAGAUUUAAUACCAUAUGUUCAGUAUGGCACUUCUGUUGCUUUUCAUCAUAAUUUGGGUGUAGCUAUCCAAAAACUGAAGGACACUGGAUAGUCUGGAUUAGAUUUGGACUGUGGACUAGUCAAGGAGCCCUUUUAUGAAGAUCUAGAAUUCAGAACAAAAUUCCUUUAUUGUUUGUUAUCAAGCACUUAAUUUGACCUUCGAAAUGGAUGACCAAGCAUAGGAGAUAAGAGAUAACUAGCAAUAAAGAUAGACUCAAUUGGGUAGAAUUAUGAGGCUUUACUAAGUUUUGUUUAUUUUUUAAAAGUUCUGAGUGGACAAAUUUGUAGUUUUUGUAGAGAAAGUGCUCUUAAUAGUUGAAAAUAAUCUCAAUAGAUUAUCAACAAAUUGUUUUCCUAAUCUGUCUAAUUAAUCAUUGUUAAGCGACGAUUGAUAUGACAUUU